RNAcentral lists this long non-coding RNA (263 nucleotides) under Physcomitrium patens. Its description in RNAcentral is "long non-coding RNA (PPAT_LNC012098)". The record is from RNAcentral. Lineage: Eukaryota; Viridiplantae; Streptophyta; Bryopsida; Funariales; Funariaceae.
UGAGCCAAAACCUCACAAAAUUGCUCAAGAUAUAGCUCAAGAGACAAACACUAGUAAAUCGGUUUACUUACUACCCUUAGAUUGCAUGUGCUGACUUCAAAAUCCAAUAACUCCUUCAUCCCAACUUAGAAUCCAGUAAGCAGUAUGUGCAAAGUAUAGCUGCAAAAGUGCUCUCUUCAGUCGCAGUCUCCGAUCCUCAAUUGCCGUCUAUACGUGUGUGUCAUGCCCAAAAGAGUGACAGUAGGUCCAAAACUAACACCUUA